CUGACAUCCUAGUGGGUGUGGGACGCAGGCAGCCUGGCGCCAGGCACCCCCGGCGAUGAUCCCCAAACCUCACCUUCCAGCUGGCGGCGCUCGCGGCGCUCCAGCUCACAAACUUGUUUGCUCGCCUUACGAGUAUGGUGUUUCCCUGGGGCUCCGUGGAGAGCGUUCCCCUUCCUUCCUUGGGCUGGUCCAGGCUUGGCUGGAAUCCAGGGCAGAAGAAAGGAAAUCAAUUAACCAGCUCUCUUGCAUAAUUUUGUGACGAGUCAAAACCACCUGUCUCUUUAUUUAAUUCUCCAAGAAUGAGAUUCAAUGGUAUCUGCUUCCAC
RNAcentral lists this long non-coding RNA (326 nucleotides) under Capra hircus (goat). RNAcentral describes it as "lncRNA (ENSCHIG00000006356.1)". Lineage: Eukaryota; Metazoa; Chordata; Mammalia; Artiodactyla; Bovidae. The record is from RNAcentral.